This 463-nucleotide ribosomal RNA is filed under the name uncultured bacterium. RNAcentral describes it as "partial 16S ribosomal RNA". It matches the Rfam family "Bacterial small subunit ribosomal RNA", at positions 28 to 507 of the family's 1533-position model. The record is from RNAcentral.
GAUGAACGCUGACAGAAUGCUUAACACAUGCAAGUCUUUGGCGAAGCUGUGCUUGUUCAGCCUAGCCAGGGCGGACGGGUGAGUAACGCGUCAGGAACUUGCCCUGCAGUCAGGGAUAACAGACGGAAACGACUGAUAAGACCUGGUAAAGUCAGGCGGACUCAUGUCCAGCCUGAUGAAAAGAGAUGCUGCAGGAGAGCCUUGCGUCCUAUUAGCUUGUUGGUGGGGUAACGGCCCACCAAGGCGAUGAUAGGUAGCCGGCCUGAGAGGGUGGACGGCCACGAGGGGACUGAGAGACGGCAGUUACUCCUGCGGGAGGCAGCAGUGGAGAAUAGUGGACAAGGGGGGCGACCCUGAUCGAGCAAUUCUGUGUGCAAGAUGAAGGUUUUCGGAUUGUAAAGUUCUUUCAGCAGGGAAGAAAAAAAUGACGGUACCUGCAGAAGAAGCGACGGCUAAAUACGUG